RNAcentral lists this transfer RNA (74 nucleotides) under Deltaproteobacteria bacterium. RNAcentral describes it as "tRNA-Cys". It matches the Rfam family "tRNA". Rfam says of the family: Transfer RNA (tRNA) molecules are approximately 80 nucleotides in length. Their secondary structure includes four short double-helical elements and three loops (D, anti-codon, and T loops). Further hydrogen bonds mediate the characteristic L-shaped molecular structure. tRNAs have two regions of fundamental functional importance: the anti-codon, which is responsible for specific mRNA codon recognition, and the 3' end, to which the tRNAs corresponding amino acid is attached (by aminoacyl-tRNA synthetases). tRNAs cope with the degeneracy of the genetic code in two manners: having more than one tRNA (with a specific anti-codon) for a particular amino acid; and 'wobble' base-pairing, i.e. permitting non-standard base-pairing at the 3rd anti-codon position. Lineage: Bacteria; Pseudomonadati; Myxococcota; Myxococcia. RNAcentral also lists the same sequence under 3 other names. The record is from RNAcentral.
GGCGGCGUAGCCAAGUGGUAAGGCGCGGGCCUGCAAAGCCCUGAUCACCGGUUCGAAUCCGGUCGCCGCCUCCA